CUAUCGCAAGCUACAUAUGAAAAGAACACACUUACACAUUAAUCAAUAUCGGUCAUUGAUUUAAAACCGAUCACAUUACACCUUUACUAAAUUAUCAAUUUAUCAUCUUUACCAUUAAUUUCAGAUCGGACGAUCAUAAUCAAUAAUUAUGUGAUACAUUUGGUGUGUCUCAUUUUCAACAUUGCAUAGCUAGCCUAUGACCCCACUACCCCAUAUCAUCACUCAUGUUGGCAUUAUUAGACAAGCACAUCUACCCUGAAAGUGAUUGAAGUGGAAUCCAAUGAAUAUCCAGCUUAGUAAAAGAAAUAUUAGAUGGAAAAGUAAAUAGCAAAGUGAAUUAAAUUAAAUAUAUAACAUAAACUAUUUAGAAAAGAAAGAAGAUAAGAAGAGGACACAUAAAAGUUGUACAUUUGCAUUAUUUGUUCAGAAAAUUGGGAUCUGAGCAUUUUUUGGAUUGGAAAUGAAGUUCUUGUUCCAAUGUCCUUGCUGCUCAUGCUUUUGCUUCAUGAAGCCAAAGGCUGGGAAGGCAAAGGUGGCAGGAGUCAAGGAAGUGAAAAAAGCUAAGGAAGUGAAAGAAGCUCCUAAGGAAGUGAAAGAAGCUGCUAAGGAAGAAAAGAUUGAAGAAAAGAAAGAUCAGUGACAUGUAACUCCAUUGUAAACUUUCUUUGGUUGUUUAAUUUUAAUUAUAUAUUUUCCUUUUUGGUUCUUAUAUCAAUAAUCUAAUUUAAGCAUAUAUGUGUACAAUAAUUUGUGUCUGCUUUGUGCUUCUCUGGUUGUUUUUUGAUAGUGGCCGGGAUUUGAACCCCGUAUCUUACUUAUUUUAUGCAUUGUCCCAAACAACUGAGCUAAGUUCAUGACGACAACUUAUGUUGUUUAGCAUUCACAUGCUUUUAUAUUAUUAUUUAUUAUUUAUCUGAUUAAAAAUGCACAUUAAUUUCCUUUGUAAGUUAAAGUGGAAAAUAAAUUACCAUUUCAAUCAUGCAUACUUCCUUGUGAAUGUGAUCUGCUCUAUCCUUUUCAGUUUGAUAUAUAUGCUCAUUUUAAUCAUGUUUAUAAUCUCAAAUUCACGUAGUCCACGUUCAUUUCAUAUACGUGACAUAUAUGUCAGAUUCUUCCUUCAAAAAAAAAAUAUAUAUGUCAGAUUCUUAGUGAUUUGUACUAUUUUUAACUUUUAAGAUGAUGAUAGAAAAUGAGAGAUGGAACCAAAUUGUUCACACAAUUUUCUUCUAAGAAGUAAGUAUAUUUCCCCCCUCAAAAUCUACCAUCUUCUCUUUUGUGGGAAAAAUUAUAUCACAUUUUAAUACACUAGAUCUUUUUAUAUGAUUUCUUAAAAAAAUAAAAAAACUUUUUAUAUGAUUAUGAGUAUCAUUAAGACAUUUUGUUGAAAAAAUAUAUCAAUAAAAUAAAUUUUUUAUCCUUAUUAUAACUUACAAAAUAAAACAAAACAAAAAAUACAUAUUUUAGAUAAAUUUUUAAAGCUGCCAAAAUAUGAGUUUUUAGAGUUUCAUGUACUCUAAAUUAAAAUUAAAAUUAACAAAAAAUUUAAUAAUUUUUUUUGAAAUUAUUGAAUCUUGCUCAUGCAAAUAUUAUUAGUUUUAGAAUUAGUAUUAUAGCACUAUUAUCACGGACACUAUAUUUGAGAUUUAUUAACGUUGAAAAACUUACUAAAUCACGAAAAAUAUUACUAUUUAUUUAAUAACAUUGGAACAAACAUUAUACCAUUUGUUGUCUCUAGCAACACUUUCUUGAGGAACGUGUAAAAUUGUCCCCUAAAAGUCUCUAAGGCAAUGAUUUACGAGUGUUGCCAAAAAAAAAUUCGCAACCCCUGAUAAACGUCCCCUAAAAUACUUUUGGGGAUGAUUUUGGAGCAUUGCACUCUUAUUUCGUUGUUGACAAUCAUUAAUUGUCUCCUUAGAUAUUUUUGGGGACAAUUUUAGAUUGUUGCAUAAAAAUUUCACCAACAUCAAAUUUUGUGGCACCUCCAAACUUGUUUACCAAAAAACAAAUUUCCCCUCCAUGAAAAUUGGCAUAACAGGAAGUUGAACAUACAAUCGGUAGGAGUUAGGACAAACAAGGAUUCCUCUAGCCAACACACCACGUACAUUUUUGUGGUAAAAUUUACUUUUUCUCUAUUAUAUUUAAAUAUUCCACCAUGAAAACACACCCACUGUACCAUUGCUCACAUGAUUCAAGUGGUUAAUUUAACUCUUAUAUAAAAAAAUUAAUUUAACUCUUAUUUUAAAUUAUAAUAUUUUGCAUUGUUCUUACCAACUGAGCUAUGCUCACGGGACAUAUCACAAUAUAUAUAUAUAUAUAAUAAGAAUGACUUCUUUAUAUGAGAAUCCAUUAUCAACCCUUUAGAUUAAAAUGAAUGGCUUAGAUUUAAACUUCCAAUAAAACAUCACAUGGACCCUCGCCAUCUUCUGUCCAUCUACAAGAUUGAGAAAAAACGAUUGAUUUCAUGUACAUGAGAACCGAAUCCUCUUUUCCUAAUCUCCAAGAACAAAGUCAUUUUCAUCAAUUCAAGAAGGGGGCAAUAGCACACUGAAUCGAAAAAUAUAGAUGCAUCCGAUAGACAUUAUGGUAAAAAGAGGGAUAGUAAUACAAGGGAAAUGAAACAGAAAAAAAAAUCUGCUAGCACCAGAUCUGACACCCCACCGUCGUCGAACUGUUCUCCGACGGAAAUCAAGGUGUCCCAUUGGCUAUUCCUUCCUUUGUGUGUUUUGAAUUAGAAUUUAAAUUGUUGAAUUGGACAUUGAAAAAUGAUAUUUGAACAUCCAUUUUUGUGUAACUUUUGUAACAACUUUCUCUCUCAUACUCACAUCAUAUUCUCAUUUUCUUUCUCUAUUGCUUUGGUUUCUGUACCAAGACUCACAUUUCUUUCUAUAUUUUGGUUGUCCCACAAAUUGUCAUACAAAAUGGUUGUUUAAAUAACACUCCUCUUGAACAUUAUACCUUUUCUUCGGUUGAAUAUUUGUCCAGAAGUUUCUUGGCCCCAUUGUUAUAUUUUCUUCUUUAAUGCUUCUACCGUUAGUUAUUGCAAAUUCGCAAUCAAAACUAUUUUUUUAUCUCUUUCACUUAUUCACUUUUUUCUUAAUAUGUGUGAAAUAAACGAAAGACUCAGUUAUAAAAGGACGAAUGGAGUAUCUAAGAGGAGUAACAUCUAUCUACUAUUAAUAAUGUCAGAAGUCUGACAUAUUUGUGAUCAUAGAUCACAUCUUAUGUGCAUCACAUAUUCUUCAAUAAAUAUUACUGGUUACUCUCCCAUGUUAAGUGACACAGUUGACUUUAUAACACAUACCAAUGCAUAAUUUCGAUCUUAAAUAACUUUACUAAUCUAUUAGAAAAAAUUAUAAAAAUUUGAUAUUUUAAAAAAAUUCAUCGAGAUAAAUCCAACGACAUCUUAUAUAAGUAUUAUUUAUCUUUGUAUAUUAGUAGAAAAAUAUAAUCAAAAUAUGCUAGGUUAAUAUUACACAUUUUUAAAUAUGCCAUCUACAAGAUGGAGAAAGUACUACAAAACGACACUUCUAAAUUUGUCAAUUAAGUUGCGAAAGCUUAUCCAUCAACUUAUUCAGUAGGGCAGAUGAAAAUUUAUUGGUCCCAAAAAGAAUGAUAGGGUACAGAUGUCACCAAAUAAUUUAUUUUGAAAUGCGUGCACACACAUUGACGAGUAUAUAUACAUAUAACAAAAUCAUAACAGAACACAUGAAGGAAGAGAAGAUAAGUACUAGUAUUUCACAAUUCACAUGGCAGCAAGUACUAUUUUAGACGGCACAGAAACACCUCUAUUACUGCCAACAACUCAUGAUAAUGGAAAACAAAACACAAGACCAGAAAUGGAGAAUAAAUGGUGGAACAAAAUCUUGGACAUAGAGGAAGCCAAAAUUCAACUCAUGUUUUCAUUACCAAUGAUUUUUACAAACUUAUUUUAUUACUUGAUUACAUUGGUUUCUGUCAUGCUUGUUGGUCAUCUUGGUGAGCUUCAGUUAGCUGGUGCUACUCUUGCUAAUUCUUGGUUUAGUGUCACUGGCGUAGCAGUUAUGGUAAUUAAUUUACAGCUUUUGCAUUAUUAUGUUUUGUUCAUGCACAAUGUUAUUAAAUAACUUCAACAUGAUAUGUGAUGUCUCUUUUUUUUUUUUUUUAAUAAAUAUUGAACUCUUUAUCAAAAUAAAAUUCUUGAACCCUUGUAUGUCUCCUUUUUUUUUUUUUUUAAUAAUUCUUGAACUCUUUAUCUAAUAAAUAUCAGUUAUUCAAUGACUUUAAAAAUUAAAUUUUUUUCUUAUAAUAAAGACGAAAGAAAGUAUUUGCUCUAAAAAGGCUUAAGAGGUCAGUGAUUUGUUUAGAGAUUUGAAUGAUGUUAGAAUAUUACUUCCUCGAAUCUUUAUUAUACGAAAAAAUUUACUUUUUAAAUUCAUUGAAUAACUUAUGUGUUUAAUCUAUAUCAUAAACUACAUACAUUAGUUAUUCAAUGACUUUAAAUAAUGAUUUUUUGCUUAUAGUAAAGAUCAAAUAAAGUAUAGCGUUAUCAUGCCCGCCCGGCUCCACUUAGUGGAAUAAAAGGCUUGACUUUUUUUUUUUGAUCAAAAAAGACUUGACUUAUUCAUUUUGUAGUUGUAGUAUUUACUGUACUAUAGUAUUUACUAUAUAAUGGUUGAUGUUUCACCUAUUUAGCACCAUAUUAAGUGUGAGUUUGGUUGUAUGGUGGAGAAAGUUGAUUUUGAUAGAAUUGCUUAUGUCGAAUUUAUUUUUGUCAAAAGUAAUUAUGAUUAAAAGUGAUUUGUGUUUGGAUACAUUUAUGUAAAAGUGAGGUGAACCGUAAAUUUUUCUGUGAAAAUCAUUUCUAAAAUCAAAAGCUACAAAUCCUAAUCAAUUCUACUCGUCAGCAAUCAAACAUGUGAGAAUCAAUUCUACACCUCCAAAAUCAAUUUUGGUCCCUCUAGAAGCGAAACCAAACAUAAACUAAAAAGACACCUCAUUAUGGAAUAUAAUAUUUGAGUGUCUAUAGAGAAGGGUGGCUAUCGAAUCAUAAUGAUAAAAUAAAUCAUAAUAAAUCAUUCUUGUGGGUCCUAUUUAAAAAAUCAUAAUAAAAUAAAUAAAUUGUGUUUCAAUAUAAUGAUAUAGAAUUAUUUGUGGGAUUUAUUUAGGAAUUUUUUUUUGAAGUGGUUGGAAAAAAAUGUUGCUUAUGUAAGAAUUGGUCAUUGUAAUAUGUGUAAUUUUUAUUUAAGUCAUUUAUUUCACUCAAAUUGGAGGGACUUUUUUCUCCCAUAAAAUAAACUUCAACUACACAAGAGGUGCUAGCUCAGCAGUAAGAGUUUAACCUUGUAAAUUCAAGAUACGAACUUUAAAUUUUCUUGAAGACAGCUGUAAAAUUAUUGUUAAUGUCACUUUAAUCAAACUUAUAAUUGAUAUAACCAAUGGAAUCUGAAUAUCUAAAAAUGAAGGAUUAACAUUAAAUAUUCUACAUGUUACAAGACAUAAAUGUUGUCACAAGAUUAAACUCAGUUCCUUGCCUUACUCUUUUCUUUGUCUUAGGUUGGUUUAAGUGGUGCACUAGAAACACUCUGUGGACAAGGAUUUGGUGCAAAGGAAUAUCACAUGUUGGGAAUUUAUCUACAAGGCUCUUGCAUUAUAUCUUUCAUUUUUUCAAUAUUUAUAUCCAUUAUUUGGUUCUAUACAGAACACAUUCUAGUUUUACUUCAUCAAUCUCAAGACAUUGCUAGAACAGCAGCACUCUAUAUGAAGUUUCUUAUACCAGGAUUAUUUGCAUAUAGCAUCUUGCAAAACUUGUUGAGGUUUCUACAAACACAAUCUGUAGUAAUGCCACUGGUUAUCCUUUCAGCUAUCCCAACACUGAUUCAUGUUGGAAUUGCAUAUGGAUUUGUUCAAUGGACAGGUUUGAGUUUCAUAGGUGGACCAGUUGCAACUUCUAUUUCACUAUGGAUAUCUAUGAUAUUGGUAGGUUCUUAUGUCUUGUAUGCAAAGAAGUUUGAGAAUACAUGGAGAGGAUUUUCAAAGGAAUCAUUUCAGUACUUGUUUACAAACAUUAAACUAGCUCUUCCCUCUGCAGCAAUGGUAUGGUAUGUCCCUUUUGAUGAUUGAUCUUAGAAAACAUAGUUUGCAAAAUUAUUAGGCCCGGUUUACUUUGAGCAACAUUUUCAAACCAGUUGAGUUACCCAAUCCCCCGGUCACUUGGCUUCUAGUUUGAACACUAUUAGACUUUUGUUAUUUAAUGAAAGAUGCUUAUAUUAUGAAUCUUACUAUUUUUAUUUUAUAUUAUGCAAGUUUGGAGUAUUGGGCUUUUGAAGUUUUGGUUUUCUUAGCUGGAUUAAUGCCUAACUCACAAAUAACAAUUUCAUUGAUUGCAAUAUGGUAUGGUUCUCAUAGCUUUAUAUUUCUGCUACUAAAUAAAGAGAAGAAGAUUCAUAUGAUUCACUAUUGCUAAUCUUAAAAAUAAUUGCAGUGAAAACACAGAAUUCAUUGCUUACAUGAUCACUUAUGGUCUUAGUGCAGCUGCAAGGUUAGUUGGUCUAAGUUAACAUAAUUAUUUCCUUCAUGACAUAAGCAUUAUGCACUUUAAUCUAUGUUCUUGUAAAUUUAUUGAAAAUUUUGAAACUUGAACUUUUUUAUAGCACAAGGAUUUCCAAUGAAUUGGGGGCAGGCCAUCCUGAAAAAGCUAAACAUGCAAUGAGAGUCACUCUAAAGCUAUCUGUCCUCCUUGGAUUUUGUUUUGUUUUGAUGCUUUUGUUUGGUCAUGAUAUAUGGAUUCAAAUGUUUAGUGAUAGUCCUAUUAUCAAAGAGGAGUUUGCUUCAAUAACACCUUUGCUUGCUAUUUCCAUACUACUAGAUUCUGUCCAAGGUGUCUUAUCAGGUUUGAAUUCCUCAUCUCUUUUUAACUUAAGCUUUGUCUCAGCAACAUUGUCAUUAACAAAAAAAAUCUUAUGGGUAAAAUAUGUCUUGAAUAAUGCAGGGGUAGUUAGAGGAUGUGGUUGGCAGAACUUAGUUGUUUAUGUCAACCUUGCCACUUUUUAUCUCAUUGGUUUACCAAUUUCAUAUCUCCUUGGAUUUAAGACCAAUUUGCACUAUAAGGUAUAAUUCUCAUUAUUCUCAUAUAAGUGUCACAUUUAUAUGUAAUACUUUAUCUCUUUUAAAAUAAACGUCAUUUUAAUAAAAAAAAAAAUGAAAAUAGAGUUUUUAAUAAAAUGACAAGUGUAAUAGUAAGCAUAUAUACACACAUAAAUUGUUCAAUGAAUCUGAAAAGAGAAUUUUUUUUAUUGAUUAGAUACAUUAGUUGUUCAAUGAACUUAAAAAAAGAAUUUUUGCUUAUAAUAGUGACAAGAGGAUGUAAAUACUAUUUUAUCAUAAAAAAUAAUUCAAUUAAGGAUGCUUGUGUUGAUAUCAAGAAGAAUGAUUUUAAUUUUGCAUUAUUUUGUUUAAUCAUUGUGUUUCUUUUUAAUGUGGUUUAUGAUAUAGGGUUUAUGGAUUGGUCUGAUUUGUGGGCUGGUGUGUCAAAUUGGGACACUCUUACUUUUGACAAGGCAUGCCAAAUGGACUAAACUUAAUCUCUCAGGGGACAAAGAUAAAGACCAACCUAUUGUUGUUUAACAACUGACUGUAGGACUGAAUAUGUAUGAUGUGUUUGGAACCAAGUGACAGAUCAUAUAAAUGCGUGGACGCAAAUAUAGGAUGAAAAUAUGAUAGCAACUUGUAAUAAACAUGAAUUUUGUAUCUGAAAAUGUUUCUUUCUCUUUUUAUAUGAAAACACCAUUGAGAACACUUUUUAUUUUUUAUUUUUUUUAAAACAAAAAUAUAAUAAAUAAAAAUAAAGAGAUACAAAGACUGGGGACAUAUAACCUGAUCUAGAUACAACCCAAAUGAGAAUAAUACAAUACAAUAUAAACUAGUUAGCCCUACCCUAAUUAAUCUUAAUAGAAAGAACCCUCAUCACGAACGCAACCCAGCAUGCCCGCGUACGAGCACGAAAUCAGAUUACAAAAAAAAAAUGUGAAGAGUGGACAACAAUAGAAUCAAAAAAGGUUUUGAAUUGGCGAAUGGAUCGACCGCCAACACGGUAUCCAAAUCCACGUACCAGUGAUCCCCUGAACAAAGCAGCAGGUAUAAUAGCCCUUUCAAACUUAACAGUCCGAUAACAAUCACAAUGACUGAGAUCGAUUAGAGGACAGUACCAGAAAAGGUAAACCAUUGAGAACACAUAUUGUUGCAAAACAGAAAUAUAUAUCAGGAAUUUAUUCUUGUCAUCUCAAUGUAUAUUUCUAGACAAGUGUAUACAUAGAUUAACAUUUUAACAUUAGUUUAACAUUUUAACUAGUUAUUUAUUUCUUCCCUUAAAAAAGGCUAGUUAAAUCUUAACUUGUUAACUAGUGCUUCAGGGGCACUGGUUAAGAAACUAAAAUGGAAAAGAAAAGAUAUGAUUUGUAUUGAAAAGAACAAUAUUUCAACUUAAAAAAAAAUAGAAUACACAAUUUUCAAGAUUUUUUUUUCCUUUUUUAACUCCUAUCUGAGGGCACCGGUUAACAUUUCUCAAUCUUAAUUCAUUUGCAACGAUUGAAAGAAUUUCCAAAAUUAAAUUAGAAGAUUUUACAUAGUUUUGGCAACUUUUUGCAUAAAUCUGAUGUAGGAGGGUUUCCUUAGUAUUUACUAUUUCAUUGUUUCAGCCUAAUUUUAUUAUUUGUUUGUUUUGUUUUCAAUUUUUUAUUUUUGGUCUAUUAGGGGUUGUUAUUUUCCUAUUUAAGCUUAACAAUUGUAGUCUAAGAGACAACUUAUAUUCAUUCAAUAAUAUUUUAGAGAGUUUUCUCAAUUUCUAGUGGAUUCCAGAACCCUAUUUUCAAAAGUUUGUCGCUUGCAAACUUGUUCUUUUUCAAUUUAGGUUUAGCGCUUGCUAGCCUAAGCUUCCGUACUACGUCAGUUGGUAUCAGAGCAGGUUUCUCCUGUUCUUUUCCUAACGUGAUCAGCCAUGAGAGAUCAACAGAUGACGGGGGUAGAGUUUGUCGGCAUAACCGCGAAUCAUAGUUGACGACAACAACAACAGAAACAACUGAACAGGGGAGGAGGACAAUUUUCGAUUAUUGGGGUUCGUAAUAACAACCAUACUAUUGUUACGUACCGAAAAUCAGAACAUAUCCGUGGAUCUGAUUUGGAAUACUAUGAGCGUAGAUAUUACAACAAGUUGAAUGUUGAUUACUACAAGUUUAAAAUCUCUGAUUCGAUAUAUCGUUAUCCAUUUUGUUGCAACAAAGAUUACUCCUUGACCAACCUUUUGAGACAUGCUUCCAGAAUGGCAGGUAACUCGCGUAAGACGAUUAAAGAUAUUGUUAAACAUUUUAUUUUGAUAACGUACUCCCUCCGUUUUUUAAUAUAAGCAAAAUUGAUUUUUUAGGUUUAUUUAUUUAACGAUGUAUGUGGUCCAUAUUAUAAACCACAUACAUCAUUAAAUGAAUGAAUCUAAAAAGUCAAUUUUUCUAUAUAUUUAAAGACGGAGGGAGUAUAUUCAAAGGUAUCUUAAUGUUUAAGUCGAUCAAACAUUUAGCAUCAUCAAUAAUGACACAAAUAAACAAUGCAUCUGUAGUUGAAAAUAAUCGAAUUAUCAAGGAUUCAGAGUUUUUCAGAUACUAACUUAUGUGAAUCAACAUCGGUGUCUCCUUCUUUGGUGUUUGAACUUCAUUAUAAUAAUGCUGAAAGAAGUCGCCACGUAGUGGAUGACUCGGUUGAUGCAGGGGACAUGAAAAAGUCACCAUUGUUGGAUGCUUUGGUUCCAUCCUCAGACUUGACAAACAAAAUAGAUGUUGGCAAUAUUGAAAGAAGUAAUUAUGAAAAUCCAAUAUUUAAUACAGUACCAGAGAUGCAAUCAAUUCAGAUGGCUAGUGACGGGGAAAAUAUUUCAAGAACGGAGCUUUUCUAGUUUUUGGUGUUGCUUGCUUGCCUCAUCCCUCUGAAACACUCGAAAGAAAACCAAGCAAGCCAAUGAGGUCUCAUAAAUUCGAUAUACAUUAUUCAAUACCCAAAUGUCUAUCUGAUGUUGCUUUUGCAUCAAAUGACUCAAGGAUAUUUGGUUCAUAUACGCAUGGUACAAUUAACGUUUGGAUUAGAAAAGUAAAGAGUCUACCUUGCCUCGAACUAACAUCUGCUUCAUUUUGUACCAUUAACAACAUCCAAUUAGAUGCAGAAAAUAAGAUUAUUUAUGGUGCUAGGAGGCAUGGGAUCGUGUAUGUGUGGGAUAUUCGCGGUGGAAGAGCAUCUACUACAUUCCUUCAAGGGCAUAAAGGUAACUGCUGUAUUUUCGAAAGCAAACCGUCUUUGCAUUCCACUCAAUGGGAUUCAGGAGGGUGGUCUCUUGUUUAUUAGAGGAGUCGACAUGAAUGAGAAGCUCUUUAUUAGAAUAAGAACCGGGGUCGAGUUCUUCAGAGGUGGAGGAGACUGAUGUAGAAGGGUUUCCUUAGUAUUUUAUUAUUUCAGCCUAAUUUAUUAUUUGUUUGUUUUGUUUUCGGUUUAUGAUUUUUGGACCAUUAGGGGUUUGUUAUUUCCCUAUUUUAAGCUUAACAAUUGUUGUUUAAGAGACAACUUUUAUUCAUUCAAUAAUAUUUUAGAGGAUUUUCUCAAUUUCUGGUAGAUUUCAUAACCCGAUUUUCAUAAUUUUGUCGCUUACAAACUUAUUCUUUUUCAAUCUAGAUUUAGCGCUUUCUAACGAAUCCUGCAUUUGAUCCGUCCACAUUUGAAAAGACAACCCAUUUGCCACCCCAUCAUAUUCUUUAUAGCCAAUAUUUUCGAGAACUUCAUGUAUGGCAGUCAAGUCCUUUGUUGAACAUGCACCGCUAAGUGGGGACAAAGAAACAGCAAUAGUAGCACUAUGUUGGAUACUCAUCAAUGAGUGGGAAGGCACCCCUGUUUCUUUUUGAAGAGGAGCCAAAGCAACCACUAAAAGACUUUGUAUUAGGCUGUUUUCUAGGUUCAUACUGCAAACAACGAGAUGCCAAUCACACCAAUUAGGUUCCACCGUCAUCAGAAAAUUGUCCUUCCAGACAAGAAUCUGUGAGCAUUUGAUGAUGUCAGUCGUGAAUCAAAUCAAGGGCAUUAAUCUUCUCCAUAUUACUACAGAUUCAUCGUUUAUUUCAGUUAUGUCAUUAUUGAUGAUGCUAAAUGUUUCAUCGACUUUAACAUUAAGAUGCUUUUGAAUAUACGUUAUCAAAACACAAUAUUUAACAAUAUCCUUAAUCGUCUUACACGAGGAGUAAUCUUUGUUAUAGCAAAACGGACAACGAUAUAUCGAAUCAGAGAUUUUAAACUCGUAGUAAUCAUCCUUCAACUUGUUGUAAUAUUUACGCUCAUAGUAUUCCAAAAUUAGAUUCACGAGUAUGUUCUGAUUUUCGGUACGUAACAAUAGUAUGAUUGUUAUUACGAACCCUAAUAACCAGAAUUGGUCAUCCUCCUCUGUUCGGGUUGUUUCUGUUGCUGAUGUUGCUCUUGUUGUUGUUGGUGUUGUUGUAGAACAUUCAUCUAUAUAAGUAGUUCUUCAACAUUCAUCUAAGUAGAACAAUUGAUAUAUUUAGAAGCGCAAGAGACAAGGCGAGCAAUACUUGAAAUAUUAAGCAAUAUUGAAAUCAGGGCCGGCCCUAGGCCAUAGGUCGGGGUGCGACGGCCUAGGGCCCUUGCCGAUAGGGAGCCUAAAAAAUUAUGAAGGGUGUGUAUAUAAAAAUAUUUUGUUUAUUUGGGAUAUAUAUAUAUAUAUAUAUAUAUAUAUAUAUAACAAAUUUCACGUAAAGGCCACAAACAUUGAUAUGGUGAAGGGAUGGACUAAAGUAUGUUAAUGUUUUUGGUCUUUUUGCGUGAAUUGCUAUUUGUACCCAUGUAUAGCACAAAGAUUUCUAUAUACGUCUUUCCUAUGUUUUUUUUUUUUGUUCUUAAUAAUGUACCAAAAAAUUGUCAUCGUAGAAAUUAGGGAUAUUUUUUUGGGCCCUUUGUUCCUAAUAAUGUGCUUCACUAAUAUUAAAAAUAUUGGUGAUAUUUAUUAUCCAAUAAAUUAUGAUAAUUUUCAUAACAAAACAAAUUAUAUUUUAGUUGAAAAUAUGGUUGCUCACUCUAUAGCUAGAGCAUCCCUAUCUCACCCUAGCCCCUAUAUCUUUGAUGAUGUACCACAUAUUUGUAUUCUUUAAUUAUUAAUGAAAUGGCUUAAGCUUGUCUUUGCUCAACAAAAAAAAAAUAAAAAUCAUAACAAUGACUAACAAAUUUUAUGAUGUAUUAUGCAAGGCGUCCUUUUCUCAUAUUAUGCCUAAAACCUCUAAAAUUUUAUGAACGGUCCUGAUUAAAAUCUGUUUGAGAGAAACAAACAUGCUAAGUUAGAAAUAAAUUCACAAGUUAUAUUCAUUUCAUAUACUUCCCACCCAAAGAUUAUACACUUUUACUAAGCUAUAAAUUGUAUCAUCCUCUCUGUGAGAGUAAAUUAUGUACUACACCAAACACUUAUACCUUAUUAUUGUUGUAACUCCUAAAAGGGCCAAGUUGUUGAUGGAGUUUCGAAAGACAUAGAGACUUAGUUUAGUCAAAUCAUUGUAGUGAAAAAUCUAAGGUAUUAUAGAAUAAAAACAAGGAUAUACCUUAGUGAUUGUAACCGAUUCCAAUUUUAAUGGAUUAAGUCUUCGACUAUGUUGAGGCGAAAUUUCUCUAUAAUGGGAGGACUAAAGUAACUAUUGGAGUGAACAAGGAUAAACAUAUUGAUGAUAUUAUUGUUAUGGUGUGUUACUCAGAUCUCAAUAAAAUGAUUGUAUGAUCUCAUCUAAACAAAUAAUUUGUUUGUGAUCUACCAAAUAACAUGCCUCUAAGGUAAUAGAAUAACACACAUCUCUUUUAAAAAUUGGACAUCCACCAAAAUAUCAUAACGAAAAAUGAGGUUCAUACUGAAGAAGGUCAUACCGAAAUCUCCGAGUUUAGAGCAUAGAUCCUCUCCAUUUCAGAAAUGAACAUCCUUAUUACUAUAGUUUUAGUGUAUAAAUAUUUAAUUAAUGUCAUUUUUUUGACAAAAAUAAACGAUAUUCAUUCAUUCAAUGUAGAUGUCUAGCCUAUAUUAAUACUUCAUCCGUUUUAAAAGAGUGUUGUUUUACUAAAAAAAAAUUGUUUUGAAAUAAUAUCAUUUUUAAUUUUCAAUGUAAUAAUUUUUUUCUUUUCAAUUAAUACUAUAUACACUACUUUCAAUGUAUUAUUUUUUCUUUAAUGAAAAACAAACCAAUAGUUGAUUAUGAUAAUUUGGUAAAAUAACAUCUCUCUUUCUUUUAAUUAAGACAUUUUUUAAUAUGUGUGUAAAAUUCUUAAACGACAUUCAUUUUAAAACGGAUGGAGUAGAAAAAUGUUCUCUCCCAACAAGUUUUGUUCACUCCCAACCAAACUUUUGAAAAUGUUCCCACGUAAAUCACUACAAGAAACAUUACCUUUUGCCAGGGGCAAAACCCUUGUCAAAAGGUCAGAAUCCCUGGGAAAAGGGACGUUUGUGAGGGAAAUUCCCAGGGGCGGAAGCAAUGGCAAAAGCGCUCGUCGCAAACAUUUUGCCAAGGGUUACACCCCUGGGAGAAAAACGAGGGGCUCAACCCCUGGUAUAUGGCGUGGCUUUAUUCCUGUCAUAACCCUUGGCAAAAUCCCUCACUUUUUGUUGCUGUGCAGUCUGCUCUCUUCCGACACACUGUCGCGCUUCACACUUCUGACUGACUGAUGGAAGGUCAAAUCAGGUCAGGGAAAAAACCAAGGACUUGCGAGGGGUUUAACCCCUGGCAAAAUGUAUAUUAUUUUUUAAAAUAAAAAUGUAUUCUUUUUAAAACCGAAUUUUUUAUUAAUUAAUUAAUAAUUUUACAAUAGUUUUAAUUAAUAAAAUGAAUUUAAAUAAAUUUAAAUAAAUUAAAAAUUCGAUUUUUUUUAAAAGUUGUUUUUCAAAUACAAUUAAAUGGUUCAAAAAUCAUUUUAAUUAAUAAAAUAUAUUUUAAAAAAAUAUAAAAUUAUUUUUAAAACACAAUUAAAUGCAUAUAAAUAAAGCAAUAUCACACAUACACUACUAUAAAGCUUAGUGUUUGACCAUUUUUUUUCUUUUACAUUCUACUAUAACUAUAAAUUAAUAUACGUAUAAUAAACAAAUCUACCUAGAAAUAAGAUAUUGAACAUGUAUAUCUUCCAAACAAAAUCAUCAUACAUAUUUAUUACUAACCAUCAAAACAUAUAUAUUUUCUACAAAUAAUUUCAUUUAACAACAUAUUUCCAAAAAACAAUAACAUAUACAUAUUAUAUGUAAAUACAUGCAUUUAAAAUUCGAAAUCAUAAAUUAAAAUAACAGAAUUAAUAAUAUAUAUUUUUUCUCUAAUUGCAGUAUUUUUCACUACCAUAAAAAUAAUUUAUUACCUAAAAUCCGUAAUAGAUUUGCAGGAAACAAAAAAAACAGAUCUACCAUGCAAAUAAUUAUAACAUCAUAUACAUAAAAAAAUAAACAAUAUCAUAUAUUUAAAAACAAUAACAAAUUCAAAAAAAAUAUAUACAACAAUCAGCAUGUAUAACAACAACAAUAUUUUGAAGUAGAGAAACUAAUAACUUGUUGAGACUUAACAAAUAACAGAUCUAGAGAACAAGCUGCUUAGCAAGGAUCUACACAAGAGGUGGUAUAACUUUGACACUGAUACAAAUGAAAUUAAAAAUAUUAGUGGAGUAGUAACAAAAAAUAGAAACAUGAAAAUAUAAGUUAAAAGAGUAUUAACAAAUUUAAGAGGUUUAGUGCUGCUGGAGAAGAGUAGUUUAUAUAAUAUAAUGAGUUGAAUUUUUUUUCUAAGUGUUAACUGCAUAUGAGAGCACCGAUGCAUGCUUAUAUAGGGAGAGAGAAAAGCCAGGGGUACUACGACGGAAUCCCCCCUCUCAUUUUGCAAUCAUAGGUUAGGCAUAGGUAGCUCAGAACGGUCAUAUUUCUCAGAGAAAAAGCCAGGGAUUUCAUGCAAAAAACCACGGCCUAAACCCCUCACACGUCAGCUUUAUCAGCUUUUUGCAGGCACCGGUCAACUCAUCUGCAUUUUGCAGAGAUUCAUGUCAGUCCGACGGGCUGUCCGUCGCAGAAGCCCUGGGUUAUGGCCUGCAAUGGGCUGACAGUCUGCAUUCUUGUCUCCCACUUUGAAUUAAAAAGUGGCGCCAAAAAAAAACCAGGGAUUGUCUACAUAAAACGACGAGUUUGGCCCUGGUUUUCUUCAUAGGGUCCUACGUCUUUUUCCCAGGGGUUGUCCUUGGCAUUUUCCGUGGUAUAUUUACCAGGGGUUUUAAAACCCUGUCAAAAUCCCUGGCAAAAGGUAAUGUUUCUUGUAGUGAAUUAACUCACGCAAGUGUUAAACUCAACUUAAUUAAGUCACACUGAAAUACAACCUACUAACUUAUAACUUAAGUGACACUAAAAACUCACAUUGAACCCCAAUAUGAGCUAACUCAAGCUGGUUUUCUUUCUCAUUUUUCCCAUGAAAAUCUUGCUCAUUUAAUUAUUUAAUAUGUUUAAUAUAUUGCUGCUGAUAUGAUUGUGCGAUAGGUUUAAUGCAAAGUAGAAGGUAUCCAGCAUGACCCAUACCAUGAUGCUAGCAGUAGUACAUACGUUUGUGGUUAGGACAGCAAGAGAUACAAUGGUCCCAUACACUCAUUUAAACCAUUAUAAACAUCAGAGGAGCAAGAUUUUCAUGUGAAAAGUGACAAAGAAAACCAACGUGAGUUAACUCUAAUUUACACUGGCCUUCAACGUGAUUUAAGUCACGCAACGUGAAUUAGCCUCAAAAUGAAAAACUAUUAUAAUUAAUAGCUUUUUCAAAUUAUAUUAGUAAACAAACAAAAAUAGCUUUAGAUUUUUUUUUUGAAGGAUAAUUUUUUUUUUUAAAUCUCUAAAAAAAUCUUUAUAUUCUUUUAACUCAAAAUCUAUUUUUUUUAAAGCUGAAACAAAUGCACCCUUAAUCUUUAUGUACAUAUGAUAUAAUUUUUUGGGUUAGGGUAACAAGUGUCCUAGGACACUUGUUAAGGAUUCAAAAAAGGAAAUGAUUUAUAAAUCUUAUGUAAUAAAAGUUUCUUUUUAAAAUAUGAAUACAUUGAAUAUACAACUCUCAAAAAAAAUAAAAUUCUUUUAGCUUCUAAACGGGCAUUUGUUAGCAUUUCCUUAAUUUUUUUACAUAUACAUUCAAUCAAAUUACUUCGUUAUGCAUUUUUAUAAGUUAGUUUCCGAAAUGUUUAGACAUAUUUUCAUUUAGUGUGAUUUAGUGAGAUGCAUGUGUAGAAACAUUUUACACUAUCAAUUUAAAUUCUAUUAAACAUAUGUUAUUGUAAUGAGUUUUAGGGAUAAUUUAUCCCUAGAGCUCGUUUACAUCUUUAACGCAUUUCUUCUUCAACCAUUUGCCCCAUUUUUCUUCCAUUAAAAAACUUGUAAAGUAUUUGAGAUUGCAAAUUGCCUCAAAUGCCUCCAAGUUGGACACUUUCAUUACCUCAUAUUUCGUAUUGAAAUUGUAUUCAAAUCUUUCAUUAUCAAGAUGUUUGGUUGAUGUGUAUAUACGUGGCUGUACUCUUCCAUUCUUUAAGUUGGAGUGAGAUUGGAGGUCAUUUAACAAAUCCUUUUUCACCCAUUCUUUUUCCUUCUAUUUUUUGUCAUGACAAUCAUUCGGUCCAAUUUAUUUUUGUCAUGACUAAAAAUUUUGUUUUUAUUAAAAAAAACAUUCCUUGAUUUUUGUCGUAAGCUAUAGCAAAACUUGUAUUUUUCUGAGAAAAAAAAAAUGAUAGGUUGACACCCUGUUUUAUGUACCACUCAUAUACACUUCUGUAUGGCAAAGAUAUUUUAGUCAUUUCAUUUUACACCAUCACUAUUUUUUGGAUGAGUUUCACUAUUUUUGUCACACGUCACAAUUGUAUGUACAUGUCAAGGUGUGUAUGCAUCUAAGAUGAUCUAUCUAUGAACGCUCUUUUAAAAAAUAAGAUAUUGUCUCCAAUUUGUACAACUCAAUAUACUAUAAAUAAUAAUGAAUAAUAAAGAAUCAUUACUUUUUACCAAAAAUAAAAGAAAAAAGAAUCAUUACAAAACUCGUGAUGUGUAACCGCCACCAAACAUGUUGAAUCACACAGUGACGUGUGUGCGUGCCUAUAUACACACACACAAAUGAAGAGGAAGAGAAGCUAAGAGUAAGAUUUUGUCAACAAAUAAAAAAUCCGAAGAGUAAGAAAGUUCACAUGGCGGCAAGUAUCAUUUCAGAUGGCACAGAAGCACCUUUAUUAGCAGAUGAUCAUGCACAAAUAGAGAAAUGGUGGAACAAAAUCUUGGACAUAGAGGAAGCCAAAAUUCAACUCAUGUUUUCAUUACCAAUGAUUUUUACAAACUUAUUUUAUUACUUGAUCACUUUGGUUUCUGUCAUGCUUGUUGGUCAUCUUGGUGAGCUUCAGUUAGCUGGUGCUACUCUUGCUAAUUCUUGGUUUAGUGUCACUGGCGUAGCAGUUAUGGUAAUUAAUUUACUAUUUUUCAUUAUUAUAUUUUGUUCAUUUCCAUAGAUGUUCAUAUGAAAAAUUCUUCUUGUGUGUGUUCAUUGAUUAGACACGGUCAAUCAAAAACAUGAGGUACAAUGUUAUUUAAUUAUAACUUCUUGUGAAAGUUAUGUCUCUUUCUUUAUUAUUUUAAAAAAUGUAGAACUCUUGAUCAAAAUAAAAAUUCUUGAACCCUUAUUGAUUAAUUUAUAUCCAAUGAAUAUACAUUCUUAUGUAUGAAUAACUAGUCAAAUGUAAAUUUAUAUGUAUGUUUGUAUAUAUGACAGAAAAUCAGAAAUUUCUUUUUUUUAUUUAUAUGUAUUCAAGUCAAUGGUUUGUUUAGAAAUCUGAUUGAUGCUAGAAUAUUAGUAUACGAGGUUUGACUUUAUUACUUUUGAUUGCUUGCAACAACUUCUCCUCUGAAAGCACCAACUGUGACAGAAUAAAUCAAUUAAAGUAAAUUUGGAAACGCACCAAUUUAGAUAAAAUUUUAAAAAGUACUUUUUUGUUCAUAGUUUUAUAAAUUAGAUGAAGGAAAAGAAAUAUUAAAAAGGGGUAUAAGGUUGGCAAGGGAUAAGGUGAUGGAGGGUUCUAUCUCUAUUCUUAACAAUUUUUUUAUUGACAAAUGUUAGUUUCUAGGCAUAGGACCCGGGACCUCCUCCUUCAACGUCCCUUAGCUCAUCAACCUAGCUCCCUACUCGGAACAAUAUACUCUGAACAUAAUGCUAAAAUGUCAACCAUCGUUUCUAAAUUCUAUAUUCAGAACUGGAUUUUGGCUUCAUUUACCAUGUGCUUAGAUCAAUGUGAGUGCAUGUUUAACAUCAUAAUCACGGUCUCAAAGCUUGUUCAACUGAAUACAACCUGAUUGAAUUGCCUUACUACAGUAUAUCCACUAACAUAAGCACAUGUCUGACUGUUUGAGAGAGUUUAUGGAAAGCUUAUCAAAUGUUCAUAUAUUGUUUUCAACUUAUUAUUAAUAUAAGCUCUUCAAGAUAGCUUAUGAACACAGUUUAACUUUGCUUUAUCUUUUGUUAUAGAAAUAGUGAUGAUAAAUGUUAUGCUAUAAACGCUUGUUUAUCCAAACACACCUAAAUGUUGUCACAAGAUUAAACUCUAUGCUCUUUGCUUUGUUCUUCUGUCUUAGGUUGGUUUAAGUGGUGCAUUAGAAACACUCUGCGGACAAGGAUUUGGCGCAAAAGAAUAUCACAUGUUGGGAAUUUAUCUACAAGGCUCUUGCAUUAUAUCUUUCAUUUUUUCAAUAUUUAUAUCCAUUAUUUGGUUCUAUACAGAACACAUUCUAGUGUUACUUCAUCAAUCUCAAGACAUUGCUAGAACAGCUGCACUCUAUAUGAAGUUUCUUAUACCAGGAUUAUUUGCAUAUAGCAUCUUGCAAAACUUGUUGAGGUUUCUACAAACACAAUCUGUAGUAAUGCCACUGGUUAUCCUUUCAGCUAUCCCAACACUGAUUCAUGUUGGAAUUGCAUAUGGAUUUGUUCAAUGGACAGGUCUGAAUUUCAUAGGUGGACCGGUUGCCACUUCUAUUUCACUCUGGAUAUCGAUGAUAAUGUUAGGAUUUUAUGUAAUGUAUGCAAAGAAGUUUAAGAAUACAUGGAGAGGAUUCUCCAUGCAAUCAUUUGAUUACCUGUUUGCAAACAUGAAACUAGCUUUGCCUUCUGCUGCAAUGGUAUGGUAUGAGCUUCUAUACGCCUCUCACUUUAUUUAACCUUUUGGUGAUUGAUCUUACAAAACCUAGUUUUCUAAAGGCUUAUUGAUGUGUUUAGCCCUUGCAAUUAGGCGGCAUUUAAAAAUUCGUCCCUGUAAUUGCUAAUCCUGGCAUUUUAACCCUGCAAUUGUUAAUCGUUUAAAAUUUGGUCCUUGGACCAAAUUAAUCACUGCCACGUCACUAAUUUGAUGACGUGGCAAUCACUGUCACACAUGAAAUUCCAAUUUUGCCCUUAAGAAGAGGACAAAAUAUUGAAGAAAGAAUUGGAAACCCAGGGGUAAAUUUGGAAUUUCAUGUGGCGUGGCAGUGAUUAAGUGGGGAGAGGGACGAAAUUAUAAAUGAUUAACAAUUGCAGGGUUAAAAUGCCAGGAUUAGCAAUUACAGGGACGAAUUUUUAAAUGCCGCCUAAUUGCAAGGGCUAAACACAUCAAUAAGCCUUUUCUAAAAUAGGUUUGAAUAUGUUUUUGUCCUCUACAAGUACAUCAUUUUUUUCUUUUAUAGCCUUUAAGAUUUUUGUUUGUUUUAUUUUAAUCUGUGUAAAAUUUGUUUAUGUUUGUUGUCCAUGUAAUAUGUGUAUAGUAUUCAUUUUGGUCCUCAUGUAGACCAUAUUGGAGUGACUAAAAUCAAAACCACUGGAUAUUACAAGGAUCAGUUUCAACGUGAACAAAUAUUUUAGGGACUAAAACAAAACAACAAGGACCAAAAUCAAAAAUCGAUAUAUUUGCGUAGACCAAAAACAUAUUAGCUUCUAGUUUGAACACUAUCAGACUUUUGUUGCUGUUUAAUGUAAGAUCCUUAAUAUAUUAUGAAUCUUACUAUAUUGUUUUAUGUUAUGCAAGUUUGGAGUAUUGGGCUUUUGAAGUUUUAGUUUUCUUAGCUGGAUUAAUGCCUGACUCACAAAUAACAACUUCAUUGAUUGCAAUAUGGUAUGGUUCUCAUAGCUUUAUAUUUCUGUUACUAAAAUGAAUAGAAGAAAUAUUCCCUAAUGAUAUUCUUCAAAACAACCAUGCAGUGCGAACACAGAAUUCAUUGCUUACAUGAUCACUUAUGGUCUUAGUGCAGCUGCAAGGUUAGUCGGUCUACUUUAACACACUCUUUCGCGGCAUUGUUGCAUAAAUCCUUUUCGACCUGGAUUUCCUAUAGUCUAAGAAAUCGCGCUGUCAAGAUAUCUCAAUCGUUAGAUAAAGAUCGAUGACUCAUAUGAGACAUUAAAUUUUUAUCCAACUGUCGAGAUCCAUGACAAAGUGAUUGUAUGUACAGACAGUCCAAUUUCCUUCAUAGGGGCAAUUUUAUUUGACUUGUCUUCUGACAUAAGCGCUUUUUUAAUCUACAUACUUGUACAUGUAUUGAAAGAUUGAAACUUGAACUUUUAUAGCACAAGAGUUUCCAAUGAAUUGGGAGCAGGCCAACAAGAAAGAGCAAAACAUGCAAUGGGAGUCACUUUAAAGCUCUCUCUCCUCCUUGGUUUAUGUUUUGUUUUGAUGCUUGUAUUUGGUCAUGAUAUAUGGAUUCAGCUUUUUAGUGAUAGUCCCAUUAUCAAAAAGGAGUUUGCUUCAGUGACACCCUUGCUUGCUAUUUCCAUACUACUUGAUUCUGUCCAAGGUGUCUUAUCAGGUUUAAAUUCCUCAUCUCUUUUAGGUUAAGCUUUCUCUACAAGAUGAUUAUCAUUAACAAAAACAACUUAGGGGUAACAAUGUGUUAAAUAAUGCAGGGGUGGCUAGAGGAUGUGGUUGGCAGCACUUAGCUGUUUAUGUCAACCUUGCAACUUUUUAUCUCAUUGGUUUACCAAUUUCAUGUCUCCUUGGAUUUAAGACCAAUUUGCAGUAUAAGGUAAAAUUCUGUCUCGUUUCAUAUUAAGUGUCACAUUUGUAAUAUUUGUUUGUCUCAUUAUUUAUCAUUUUAGAAAAUCAUUAAAGUAUUUUUUUUUUUCCAUUAGUAUACCCCUACUUAUUAAACCGAAACCCUAGAUGUCCUCGUGAGCUUAGCUCAGUUGAUAUGGACAAUGCAUAAUAUAUGCAAGGUCCGGAGUUCGAACUCCGGCCACCACCAAAAAACGGAAACGCUAGAUUAAGCGAAUGCGUAAUCAUGAUAGGGUUCACGAAUAUGUGACAGGCUUCAUCAAAAAAGAAUAUAAGUACAGCACCCCAUGAUUUCCGGUCAGACAAAAAUUUAAUUGGCCGCCAACCUGUUUUUUGCAACUGUAUCAUAAUAAAUUUCUUCUAGAUUUAUAGCAUUGCACUUUACUAUAUUAAUAAGGUUACUUUAGUAAAUAAAUCUUAAUUUAUCAUAGAAAUUAUCAUAGUUAAUGGUUUUCUUAAGCAGUGUGCAUAAACUUAAAUAACAGAUAUAAUGUAAGAGGGAGUAAUGUAGUUAUUAUUUCACAGAAUCAGUGUAAUUAUGUUUGUGUUGAUAUCAAGAAGAAUCGUCUUGGUUUUUCAUCCAUUUGUUUCACCAUUGUUUUUCUUUUGAAUGUUUUAUGAUAUAGGGUUUAUGGAUUGGUCUGAUAUGUGGAUUGGUAUGUCAAACUGGGGCACUCUUGCUUUUGACAAGGCAUGUCAAAUGGACUAAACUGAAUCUCUCGGGCGACAAAGAUAAAGGCCAACCAAUUGUUGUUUAACAACUUAAUGCCUGCCAAUUAGGACUAUAUAAGUUUGUGUUUGGAACCACCGUGGCAGCUCAUUUAGAUGCACGGUGUGAGCGAAACAAUAUAACUUGGAGUUUCAGGCUCAGCGAGUGGCAAAGACUCUUCGAAUGUGGAGUUUCUAUCUAAAAAUGUUUCUUGCUCUUUUACAUUUAAUGAAAAUGAAAACACUAAUUUUUUUAAGACGUCUUGGUGAGUUGCAUACAUAAAUAUUCAUUAUGUAACAAAGUUUUCUACAAGAUGAUUUCUAUUCUGGAGUUUGACAGAAGUUCUUAUUGUAGCAAGCAUACUCUUUAAGGAUUCUCCCCUGUCAUACUAAUUUAUCAUUUAUCAUUUAUGACUUCCAUUUAUGAUUCAUUUUUUAAGUUUGGUUUGUUGAUUUUAUUCAAGUUUGUAAAAAGGCUAUGAAUUUUCAUUUAUCUAAACUCUCAUAUCAAGUUUUUUAAUGGGAAGUUAAUAUAGUUGUCCAUGAUGAGCUUGUCAAGCCCGUCAUAUAUAAUUUUAAGGAUCUUGUUAACACACUUUCAAGAAUUCAAAAUAAGACAUUGUUUAUUUAAAAAGUUAAAUACUUUUUUUUUUUGGUCAAGUAGCCUAGUGGCUAGAGAAAUUCACCUUAAAGAUGAAUAAGUAGGGUGUUCGGAGUUCGAACCCCGACCCCUACACACAUUGUGCAUUAUCCCUUGCCAAAUGAGCUAAGCUCAUUCUCGAAAGUAUUGAAUAUAUCAAAUUUUAUAUAAAAAAAAUAAAAAAUUACUGUUUAAAUAGUUAAAGAAUAUAUAAAAGCAUUCAUUAGCAUAUUAUAUCUUUUUUUGGUAAGGAGCAUUUAUUAUAUCUAGCAUCACGUGAGAAUUAAGUUUCUUCGCCAAAAUUAGAGUUUCACCUCUCAAGGACAAACUAAGACCGUCAUUGGAACAAUAUCACUCUCUUUGUAAAAAUAAUUGUGUAAUAUAUAUUCUUGAAACUUAAACUAAAAUGACAUACCAAUGGAUGAUAAAAAUGUACUAUGUACCCUACUUUAUGAAAAUAUGUUUACAACAUAUUACAUUAAACUUCAACUCUUCUUAGAUUAAAUCCUAAAACAGAAAAUAUGAAAAAAUUGUGUUUCUAUACCAAAUAAAAUAAUUAAAAUUCACCGAAAGCAAUUCAAAUUAGAAGAAAGUAUGAAUUAUGAAAGCAACAAAGAAUAUAAAUUCUUAUAUGUAACCAACAAAUACGUUGAGCGAGAGCAAAAAAAUUUAUCCAAAGGGAAAAUAGGAAGAUGAUCGGGUGAUACAUUAUACAUAUUAAUCUUGAUUUCAUUUCCUAACCUUCCCUCCCCAAAAGCUUAAACUUCUUCAACAAUAUCUUUACCAAAGAAUGCAUUUUGUGAUGCUUCAAAAAUUAUGUACCUACAAAAAAGAAUAUAGCCAAGAAUUAGCAAAAAAUAAUCAAAUUAUAAAUAGAAUAAAAUAAAAACCGAAAAGUAUAGGCAAGAUACCAUAAUAAAGAACAUGGCACUAUUUUUUUAUUCCAAUGUUUCUUUAAAUAUUUUAAUGUUGGCAAUCAUUUUAAGUUCACUUUGUUUUGCAUCGUAUUUAUAGAAGUGGGGGAGGGUAUAAGAUGAGAGAAAGAAAGAAAUAAAAGAAAAACAAUAUAAUCAAAGAGAGAGAUAGGACGAGAGCAAAUGCCAAGUUAUGAUUUUAAAAUUUUAAAUACAUUGUUUUAAAGAGAUUCUAAUUCUAAUGGAGCUACUAAUAUAUUGAAAUAAUUGAAGCUAAAGGUAAAGCAUAGAAUAUAUAAGAGACUCUAAUAGAGCUACUAAUAUAUAGAAAUAAUUGAAGCUAAAGGUAAAGCAUAGAAUAUAAAUAGAGAUAGUAAGAGGAAAAGUGGGUGGGGUAACUGGGGUUUAAUGGAAAGUUAUUAUGUGAUAAUAACUUCUUUAAUGUAAAUAUCUUGAAUUUGAGAGAAUCCGGGUUCGAGCUUCACUAGUGUCUUUGGAGAGAGGUAAAUGUAAAUAUCUUUGUAAGUGCUCUUUGAGCCUGAAGGUCUUCUCUACCUUGGACUGGGGCACCAUCCCCUCAUCCUAAAAUUUUGUAAAAAAAAACGUGAGAGUUAUGUAGUUGAAAGGAAGAAGGAAAAAAAAUCAAGGGAGUGUGGUAGAUUUCCCAUAUUUAAUUAUUUAAUUAAUUGUUAAUUAAAUAAAGAAAAAAAAAACUAAAUUAUGUGUGUGUGAAAGUUAUGCAUUAGUGGGAGUAUUUUACAAUAGUUAGUGGGAGUCCUCUGCAUCAUUUACGCAUUUUGUUUACACAUAAAUCAAUGAUUUGUUGUGUUAUUAAUUAAAGAAUAUAAAAACACGUGAGUUGUUAUAUUUAUUAAUUGAGGUGAUCAAACAUCGUAUGUGGCAAAAAAAUUUACAUUACUGAUAUAUAUAUAUAUAAAUUAAACUGUCAUGGUGAGUUUAACUUAAUUGGUAUGGAUAAUGUAUAAAAUAUGUAAGGUUCGAGAAUCGAAUUCCGGCCACCACAAAAAAAAAAAUAUAAUUGCUAAACUCGUGAUAAAAUUAUGAGUUUAAUGAUGGUGGAUUGACGGUCUAAAACAAUUUUACAUACAAUGUGCAAAGUUGCAUCAAAUCACCAUCAUUAAACUCUAAAAUUAUGAAGCAUCUCAUUUUCAAAAAUAAGACUUUUGUAUUAUUGAAAAAAUAAAUUAGAUUUUGUAUCCAGCCUGUACCCGAAGUCAGCAUAUUUUCUAAAGCCGUUAAAAAAAGAAAACAUGUUUUAUAGAACUAAAAAACAUGGUACCAAAAAAAAAAAAGAACUAAAAAACAAUCAUUGCAAUAAGCCAAAUGAAAUAUCUAUGAAACGUGUGGUAACCGAAACCACCGCCCAACAUUAAAUCCAUAAAUACAAGACACGAUAACCAGAUAAUAACAAAAUCUCGUAGAUGAGUUGGUGGCUACCAAAAAUAAUUUAUGCAGGGCUUGGGAUUCGAACCCGGAUUCUCCACAGAUUAUGUGUGUGAAUUUAGUCACUAACCUAUUUGACAUGAUAGUAUAUAUUUUUGUUGGUUAGUGCUCUCGGCAUUCUUUAAACACUUUAAAUGAUAAGUUUCUUAUUAAAAAUUGUGUAUUUAAUACAUUAUAAAUUGUAACAAUUGACUUUUUAAAUGAAUAAUUACUGAAUUUAAAAUCCAUAAAAGUCUUUAAAAGCACCCCUUUUCAUUAUUUCAUAAAUACCAAGUUUUUGUGUACUGAUCUGAUCUCCAUAGAAAAACCUAAACGUGUUAAACAUAAAAGUUGUGGGUCCUUUCCUUUGGAUCGAAAUUUUUCCAUAUAUAGAUUCAAAUCCUAACCAUUUGCUUAAGGGUUCACAUUUUUUCUUUUUUUCAAAGAAGGGUCCACAUAUCUUAUCAUUUUUUUACGUGAUCAAUACGUUGUUAUUUGGAUACUAACUUAAUCAUUUAAUUAUCUGUAGAGAAGCUCAGAGUAAGAUAGUUCACAUGGCAGCAAGUGGCAUUUCAGAUGGCACAGCAACACAGAACACAGAACCUGAAAUGGAGAAGAAAUGGUGGAACAAAAUCUUGGACAUUAAGGAAGCCAAACAUCAACUCAUGUUUGCACUGCCAAUAAUUCUUACAACAAUAUUAUAUUACUCAAUUACUUUGGUUUCUGUCAUGCUUGUUGGUCAUCUUGGUGAGCUUCAGUUAGCCGGUGCUACUCUUGCUAACUCGUGGUUUGGUGUCACUGCCGUCGGGGUUAUGGUAAUUUACUAUUUUUAACAUCCGGUCUCGGAUAUAAGCAAUUUGUUCAAAGAAAGUUAUCAUGUAUCUUAGGUUUCAUCAACUUUCUUUUGAUAUUAAACUUUUGCUUAUAUUUAAAAGGGAAAUAUUAACUAUUGCCCCAGGGCGCUGGUUAAGGACCAUAAAAAGUAACUUUUUAUGAAAGUUUGUAUAAUCAGUGCAUUAGAAAUUGAAAACUUUCACAUUUUUAAAAAAUAAUUACUUAAUUUAGCAUUCUAUUUAACACUCGUUAACAAAAUCCUAUUUAAAACCAUAAUAAUGCUUAUGUAAGAAUUGAUAAACAUACUUAUGUUGUUUUAAGUUCUUCGCUUUUAUGUAGAUUUAUGGGUUAGGUAUAUGUCCUCCUAUUUUUUUAUGCAUUUUUUUUUAAUAAUAUAUACGAGCACAAAUAAUUAGAGUCUAGUUGAGACAUCUUCUAUUCUUUUUAAUAUCAUUGUGCUCUUAAUUUUAAAAAAAUAAAAUGAAUUGAUGGUCGAAUGAACAAUUGUAUAUAAAUUUGACAUGCUUUAUUUUGUUUGUUUAGUAUUUGCACUAUAAAAACUUAAUAUUGUAUUAUAUCAUUGUUUGAUCUACGUAGAUGAUUGAUUCCAUCUCUUCAAUCGUAAUUUUUUGAAUAUUUAAUAUAUAACUUUUAGUCCACUAUAAUAUUAGUGUUUUCCAAACACAUGUUUAGCAUUUAAAUAUCCAUAAGCUAGUAAGGGUAUUUUAACGUUGAAAAAUGUUAGCAACACACAUUCUAUCACACACUUUUCAACACACUUUCUUUGAUCGGUUAAAAUUCACAUUAGACCCACCAAGUUUAUAUGGGACCCACAUAAUUUAGUGGGACCCAAGUGAUUUUUAACCAAUCAAAAAGAGUGUGUUGAAAAUUAUGUGACGCUAGCAUUUUUUUUAAAUGUUUAGUAUUUACCCGUUUAGCUCAUUUGUCUUUUGAAACAUGUAUAAGACUAAGGUCAUGUUGUUUGCCUAGGUUGGUUUAAGUGGUGCACUGGACACACUCUGCGGACAAGCAUUUGGUGCAAAAGAAUAUCACAUGUUAGGAAUUUAUCUACAAAGCUCUUGCAUUAUAUCUUUUAUUUUUUCCAUCAUUAUAUCAAUUAUUUGGUUCUAUACAGAACCCAUUCUAGUGUUACUUCAUCAAUCACAAGACAUUGCUAGAACAGCAGCACUCUAUAUGAAGUUUCUUAUACCAGGAUUAUUUGCAUAUAGCAUCUUGAGAAACAUGUUGAGGUUUCUACUAACACAAUCUGUAGUGAUGCCACUGGUUGUCUUUUCAGCUAUCCCAGCAAUUGUUCAUGUUGGUAUUGCAUAUGGAUUUGUUCAUUGGUCAGGUCUUAAUUUCAAAGGUGGACCAGUUGCAACUUCUAUUUCACUAUGGAUAUCUAUGAUAUUAGUAGGUUUUUAUAUCUUGUAUGCAAAGAAGUUUAAGAAUACAUGGAGGGGAUUUUCAAUGCAAUCAUUUCAGUACUUGUUUACAAACUUGAAACUAGCUCUUCCCUCUGCAGCAAUGCUAUGGUAUGAGUUUCUAAAAGCCUUUCACUUUUUUUGUCCCUUUUGAUGGUUGAUCUUAGAAAGCAUAUUUUGCCUAAAGCAUAUUUCUGCCUUAAUUGUGUUUCACACUAGCUGCCUAAUUGUGACGUCCGGACUGCAUUCAUUGCAGCGUCCAUUGCGUUCAUUGUUAGGAUGUAAAGGGGUGGAUUUAGUUCCACAUUUCUUAGAGAUAUGGCCUAAGUAGAGCUUAUAAAGUUUGGAUAGUUUUCAUCUUACAAGUCAGUUUUGUAAGAUUAAGGUCUAAUCCUAAUUUUAAGAUGGUAUCAGAAUCUAUCAUAGAUUUGUUGUUGGGCUUCUUCUAUCGUACAUGCUUCAUGUCUGAGCAUGAGAGGUGUGUUGGAAGUUCCGCCUGAAUUAACGUUAAUCCAUAGAUGUCUAAUUGCGGCAUUUGGGUUGUCUCCAUUGCAUCCUUCAGCACCUUCAUUAUGUUGGGUGUGAGGAGGUGAAUUUAGAUCCACAUUGUCUAGUAGAGAUAAGAGUUAAGGAGUGCGCAUAAAGUUUGGACAAUCCUCGUCUUACAUGUCAGAUUCGUAGAAUUGAAUUAAGUUCAACUCAAGUUUAAAGAACUACCAUACAUAUGUUUAAUUUAAGAUAAGAUCCUUAUAUUUAUGAAUCUUACUAUUUUAUAUUUUGCAAGUUUGGAGUCUUUGGCCUUUGAAGUUUUGGUUUUCUUAGCUGGAUUAAUGCCAGACUCACAAAUAACAACUUCAUUGAUUGCAAUAUGGUAUGAUCCUUAUAUCUUUAUAUUUCUGUCACUGAAAUGUAGAUAAUAAAUAUUCAUAUGAUUCACUAUUGUAAUUCUUCAAAAACUAAAAAUUGUGCAGUGCAAACACAGAACUCACCGCUUACCUGAUCAUUUAUGGUCUUAGUGCAGCCGCAAGGUUAGUUGGUCUACGUUAACAUACUCUCUUUUGCCGACAUUUUUGUAUAUUCCCUUCUAGACCUAAAUUUCCUAUAGUCUAGGAAAGCACAUAGUCAAGAGAUCUUGAUCGUUAAAUGAAGAUCGAUGACUCAUAUAUUAACUUUACCAAAUCAACUUUAAAAUAUGAGACAUCCACUUCUCAUCCAACGAUCGAGAUCCCUGACAACGUUAUUGUGUGACUGCAAGCAAUCAAAUUUCCUUCAUAGAGGCAUUUUAUUGAAACUUGAACUUUUAUAGCACAAGGGUUUCCAAUGAACUUGGGGCAGGCCAACCAGAAAGAGCCAAACAUGCAAUGAGAGUCAGUCUAAAGCUCUCUAUCCUCCUUGGAUUCUGUUUUGCGUUGAUGAUUGUAUUUGGUCAUGGUAUAUGGAUUCGGCUGUUUAGCAGUAGUCCUACAAUCAAACAUGAGUUUGCUUCAAUAGCACCCUUCCUUGCUAUUUCCAUACUACUUGAUUCUGUCCAAGGUGUCUUAUCAGGUUUGAAUUUAUCAUCUCAUUUAACUUAAGGUUUCUCACCAACAUGAUCAUUAACAAAAAAAAUCUUAGGGGGUAAAUGUCUUAAAUACUGCAGGGGUGGUUAGAGCAUGCGGUUGGCAGCAAGUUGCUGUUUACGUCAACCUUGCAACUUUUUAUUUCAUUGGUUUACCAAUUUCAUGUAUCCUUGGAUUUAAGACCAAUUUGCAAUAUAAGGUAAAAAAAUUAUUUCACAAAAUCACAAUUUAAAUAUGUUGUCAUUUUACAAAUAAAAUGUUAAUGGUCAAUUUAUUAGCAGUAGGAACUUAAUACUCUUUAUUUUGUAUUCUUUUUUUAAUCAUUGUGCUUUUUAAUUAUGAUAUAGGGUUUAUGGAUUGGUCUGAUUUGUGGGCUGGCAUGUCAAACUGGGACACUCUUACUUUUGACAAGAUAUGCAAAAUGGACUAAACUGAAUCUCUCAGGAGACAAAGAUAAAGAUCAACCUGUUGUUGUUUUAACGACUGAAUGCAUGCCAAUUAGGACUGAAUAAGCUUGUGUUUGGAACCACAGUGACAGCUCCUUUGAUGCACGGCGUGAGCGAAACUAUAACUUGGAGCUUUAGACUCAACGUGUGGAGAAAACUCUUUGUAUGUGGAAGCUAACACAGGCUAAAAAAUGGUUACAUGUUGUAAUUAACAUGAUUUUCCUAUCUAAAAACGUUUCUUGUUCCUAUUCAUUUAGAGAAAAUGGAAACACUGUUUUCUAAGGGGUGUUGGUGAGUUGUGUACAUUAAUAUUGACAUACCGACAUACAUGAUGUAACAAAAUGCUAGAAUUUCAAGAAUUUCAAAAGGGGUGCAUAAUUCUUAACAUAUAUCAUGGGAUUGAAAAAAAGAAACAUAAAUUGAUAAAUAUAAGCAAGUAUACCAAACCAGACAUUGAAAUUUAUAGAUAUUUUCUUGCCUUACCAUUACGAAAACCUUCCUUACGACCUUCAAAUCCAGGCCGUAAUAGCUUCUUCUCUCUCUUUGCAAUCUUCCUCAGUUUCUUAUCAUUAAUCCUCUCAGCUAUAUUUGCAAACCUUUUUUUGUUGUUUCUCUGCCUUCAACUGAUCCCUUGAUUGAACCCUCUCUUCCCAUUUCUCUGCAUUUUUAUGUUGCCUCUUCUUCCUUUUCUGUACUUUUCCUUAUCAAUUUAGGAUCAUCAUGAUUCAUGAACCUUAAUUCCCGAAGCUCUCUUUGUUACUACUUUCCAUGCUUCCUUCUUAGCAAUAGCUUCACCCUUCUCAGAAUCAUUCUUCUUCACUUCCUCUAACAUCUUAGCUCUUUCAAGUUCCUUAUGCUUCAAAACUUUUCUCUUCUACCCUUGCAUGUAACCAUCCUCAAGUUUAACAUUGCCGAACAUAAGCUCCUUGGAAGCCUCUGUGGCAUCCUUUAUCACCUUCUCCGUCAAGUCACCAGUUGUCGGCUUACUUUCAUCUGUCUCAUAAGCUCCUGAAAUUCUUUGAGAAGGUCAAGUGUUGUAGCAGCUGGUUUGUUAGGGGUCUAAACGGUCUCUCCGAAACUUCAUAAUGUUGUCUAUCGUUUUUCUCUUUGCCUUACCUUAGACCCUGAAACCAUGGCUUCUCGUUAUCAUCGUUGACAGAUAAACUUAGGUGGAAUAAGCUCGAUCAAUUUGUCAAAAAAAUGGGCAUUCUCAUGGAUCAUAGACUCCAAGUCUUGACAAACACCAAGAUACACAACACCCUUUUGCUUCUCAAUCUCCAUCAUUCCAGAAUCUCAUUGUAACAGCAUGAGAGAAUAAAAACCUUGUACUGACAAAAUUCCAAAAUAUAUGUCACAAGUCACAACAACAACACAUGUAAUUACAUUCGAAUAUUUUGAACCUUUCAGCACUUCAUUAUUCAAUGUUAUUCCCAAAUUAUUAUUGUUGUUGACGUGUUAAUGUUAGUAUGAUGUAACAUUGAUUCUCGCUUAAGUGCAUUAUAAGAACAAGUCAUAGGAGUGGAUUUAAUAUUAUAGGAAUCACCGUUUCUCCACUUUUUAAUCGAAAUUAGCAAUCGACAUAAACAACAAAUAAUAUAA
This 30651-nucleotide long non-coding RNA is filed under the name Medicago truncatula (barrel medic). RNAcentral's name for it is "long non-coding RNA (MTRU_LNC008733)". Lineage: Eukaryota; Viridiplantae; Streptophyta; Magnoliopsida; Fabales; Fabaceae. The record is from RNAcentral.